GUUGGGGUCUCCACUGCGGAGACGUAGCCGACGGAGCAGCCUGCGUUCCCCUCAGCCGUCCGACAGAUAGCGGACGUGGACCUUCCGCCCCUGGACUGCCCCGAUCGGCCGGCCGCUCCCCUCCAUCACUAGUAGGAGGUGGAGGUUCUCCCCAGAGGAUGCUGACUGAUGGAUGACAGCCAGACAGAGCAGCAGAAAGAGGCCUAUCAUGUUUCUGCCCAAGCUCUUUUACUAAUAGACUGUUCCUCUGCUGAGGCUUUGAUGGACAAAUGUGAGUUUCUUCAUAAUAUCCACGAACCAGAGCAGCUCGCCAACCAGAGAACAACUUUUUUACAAAGUACGGUGGUGCCGCUUUUAUUUUUAUUUGGUGAUUUCAGUAUUGGUGUCAACAUGAACGGAUUAGCAGACUAUAGGCCUCCCUGCUUGUCCUACUAUAUGUAGGAGGAUAAAACCCGCACUGGCAGCAUUGUUUGUCAUCUUUGUGGUCAUUUUGCACCUCUUAGUAGCCAUUGUGUCUCUUUCAGUGGUCAUUUUCAGUUUCUUUGAGGUCGUUUUGUGUGUCUUAGCAGUGGGUCUCUGUAAUAUUUUAAGUCAUUGUAAUUGUUUUUGCACAUCUUUGGUCAUGUGUCAUGAUUGAUGUUCAAAGCUUGUCAGUUGUUUUGUGUCUCUGUGUUUGUUGGUAGUUUAUGUGCAUCUCUGUGGUUAUUUCUACAUGUAGUUGUUUUGUCUGUUUGUGGUGCUUCUCUUUGUAGUUUAUCUUUUUGUUAUGUGUUUCUUUGUUGUUGUUUCACACCUAGAUGUAGUUGUUUUGUGUCUCUGUAGUUGUUUCCUAUCUCUUUGUAGUUGUUUUGCAUCUCAAGGUAGUUGUUUUUGUCUCUUUGUAGUUGUUUUGUACCUACAUAUAGUUGUUUCUUGUCUCUUUGAAGCUGCAUUCUGUCUCUUUGUAGUUGUUUUUGUGCCUAUUUGUAGUUGUUUGUAGCUGUUCUUGUCUAGAUGUAGUUGCCUGUAGUUGUAUUUUGUGCCUCUUUGUAGUUGUUUUUGUCUCUUUGCAGCCAUUUUGUGCCUCUUUGUGGUUGUUUAGCAUCCCUUUGUAGCUUUUUUAUGUCUUUUUGUAGCUGUUUUGUAUCUCUUUGUAGCUGUUUAUGCCUCUUCGUAGCUUUUUUGUGCCACUUUAUAGUUGUUUGGUAUCUCUUUGUAAUUGGUUUGUGUCUCUUUGUUGUUGUUUGUAGCUGUUUUGUGCCUCUCUAUAGCCAUUUUGUGCAACUUUGUAGUUGUUUUGCAUCUCUAGCUUUUUUAGUCUCUUUGUAGUUUUGUGUCUCUUUGUAGUUGUUUUGUAUCUCUUUGUAGCUGUAUUAUGCCUCUUUGUAGUUGUUUAGCCUCUUUGUAGUUGUUUUGUGUCUCUUUGUAGUUGUUUUGCAACUACAAAGUUGUUGUUUGUAUCUGUUUUGUGCCUCUCUGUAGUUGUUUUUGUCUCUUUGUAGCUGUUUUGUGCAACUUUGUAGUUGUUUAGCAUCUCUUUGUAGCCAUUUUGGGUCUCUUUGUAGUUGUUGUGCGUCUCUUUGUAGUUGUUUAGUGUCUCUUUGUAGCUGUUUUGUGUCUCUGUAGUUUUUGCUCCUAGUAUAUCAGUCAAAAUCAGGUAAUGGUUUAAUGUUACUGAAUGUAGGUAGAAUUCUGUGUAGAAUUUGCAAAUUCAAAGCUUUGUCUGGUUUUAUGUGGUGUUGACUGUUGGCUGUAGUUUUUCAGUGUUUUUUUCUUUCUGAAUGGUUUAGAUCAAGGUAGACUUAACCUCUACUGUGAAGCUGCAGGUCUGCUUUAUUCUAAUUAUUCAUAUUUUCAUUAAGCACAAAUUUCCCUGAGGAUUUAACCAAAUAAUCUCAACAUAAAUAGUACAGAUAUUAAAAUGCUGCACUAAACUUUAUACACUUGCUCAUGCACUUAUUUAAUUAUAUGAUCAUAUGGGUAUUUUAGCAAACAAAUUUGCAAAUAAUCACGAGUAAAAAGUUGUUUUAAUAACACAGCAGAGAGUAGUUUAGUUUGCCUGGUUUCUGAAGCAGCUUUGGUUUCCUUGUCAGCUGUUUUAGUUAAUGAGCUGCUGCUAAUGAACUGCUAAUUUGCCAAACAAUUGCAUUAGUGUAGCUUUCACUGAAGCCCUUUAGGGUCCCAUUGUGGAGUGUUCCAUGAGGUGAAUUAUUUCUGUCAGUUUUGGAAUAAUUCAAAACUAUCCAAGCAAUCUGUAAAUCAGAUUCAUUCAGGCUGCUAUCUGACUUAUUCCCAGCGUUUCCUACAAAUGUUCAGUCACCUCCUGCUUUUAACUGAGACUGGACAAUUACAUCAAAAGUACAGACCAAAGACAGAUUAUUAGCAGCUUCUUGUCUGGUUUUAGUUUCUGAACGUCCGUAUACUUCACUAAACUAACACUCCAUGCUCAGAUCAUCAUGAAAGGUAAUCUAAAAACAUAUGAACUUACCUGUUGAACAGAACCCAGAGGUCCACCCCCGCUGAUGACAUGGUAUAGUCCACUCUCUUCUUAAUCCAUAUGUAUCAUCAGCAGCUCUGUUCACUAAUUAAACUCCCAUCACUGACUGGUUGCUACAGUGCAGUAGCAUGUUCUGCGUAUACGAGCGUCUCUGGCUUCGGUUACCUGGCUGUUUCCUGAGCAUGCUCAGUAGAGUCGGCUGUCAUCUGAGAUGCACAGAUGUCAUGUCUGACUCCGUUUCCUGAGUCCAAUAUGAGCCUUGAACUUCACACUUUAAGCUUUAUUCUUUUUACCCUUAAAUGCCAGUAAGUCUGAUAGGAUUGCCACCAAAAGAAUCCAGAAAUAUGUACUUUCAAAAUUCAUAUAUUUAAUUUUCAUUCACUAUUUACAGCUCAUUGAAAUACUUUUCUUUUGCUUUCAAAGGUAUAUUUUGCAUCGUACCAAUUAUCUCAAAUGUCUUUAAAACCAAAAACAGAGGGAAAAGAAAAUAAAUAAAUAGAUAAAUAAUCUGGGUUUAUGGUCAGUUACUGUGUCCAUUACUAAUUAGCACACAGCUGACAUUUGGUAUUCUGUCUGAAUAAACACAUUCUUAUUAAUGACAUGAAUCAAAAAUUUGCUCAAAGAUGCUUUACUUGCCAGAACGCACAAUUUUUAUUCAGAAAAUUCAGCAUUUUAACUUCAUUUUCUUGUUUACAUUCAACAAUUCAAGUGAUUUGUCACUAGUCACACUAAAAAAAGUAGAAAAACUAGUGCAAAUGCAAAUUAUUUUGGCACUUUUAUGAUAAAAUUAGAAUCAAUGUGCAAUAAAACAGAACUUUAAUGAGCAGAGUGAGAAAUGAAAGGUACGUUUUCCAUCUUGUCAUUUUUAACUGUUUAUUAAUCUGUUUACAAGCUAAAUAUGUAUUUCAACAUUGAUUUUUGAGUAUUUUCAUAUCUAAAUGUCUUUUCUCCUUCAGAAAAAGCAAACAUAAUUUUGAUAAUUCAUUCUUAACUUGAGGGCAGAAACAUAAAUUUAUCUAAUCUAACGUGAUUUUGGGUGCUGGCCAACCCUGCUCUUUCAGCUGCCAAAAACAUUAUUUACAUUUUCAAAACACAGUGGUUAAUAUUUAAUAUUUUCAUUUGAACCUUGUCCUCAUCUUUACAGGUCAAACCAUGCAGAUAAGGGAAGUGUGUUUGCAAGCUAACAGUCCUUUCCUGCUCCUUAUCGUAACACUUUGUCUCCGUAUCACACUGGAAUCACUAAAUGCUCAAUGAAUCCAUUUAACAUAACCUGUGUUUAGAUAUCUCAGGGACUAUUAAAGAUAAAAGCCUGAAAGCUGAAAUAUAUCACUGAACAAGAAGAUGCAAUCUCUGAUUAUUACUUUUUUUCUGAAACAAUCUAAUGCCUUUGUUUCUGUGGUUCGACUGGUCAUACCUGCUCAAUCAGUUCAGGAAGUUCAUUGAACAUAAUUUUUCAUUUUUGUGAUCAAGUAUUAUUUAAUAUUUAAAAGUAUUCCAUGUUUUGUAUAAUUGUGACAUUAAAACUACAUAUGGCUCAGAAAGUAUCACUAGUUGACUUCUGCAUUAUCAAUCUUUUUGUUACUAUUUGUUUAAAGAUGGGACUCAAAUGACGGCUUCAACUCCUCCAUAAUCAGAGACUAUUUGAUCUACUUGUCCAACAUCACAGAUUCUGAAUCAAUGGCAGGAUGAUUAAAAAAUGGUAAAAAUUUCAGGCUUUUAUGUUUAGUGUCUGAGAUGUUGUUGUUCAUACAAAUAUCAAUCUGCAGAAAAACCUACUGAAAGUGGGUCAACAGGCAAUUUCUAUAAAAAAUAUCUCAAAGUAUUUGAUAAAUCAAACUUUCUAAACUAAUUUUAUCAGUGUUUAUAUUUUAUGCUAUGAAAAACUCAAGCAAAUCAAUGAACAGAAGCGAUUCAAAAAAUGUGACCAUUUGAAAUGGAAUGACCUUCAUAUCAGCAUAUACAAUUAUCACCAUAAGUAAACUAUUAGUAUUAGUAAACUAUUAUUAAUAUUAUUAUGUAGGAUUGUGUGCAAGUGCAAUUUUACUCUUUAGUGCAGUAACUCGCAAAUGUGAUUUGAAUGAAAGAUGUUAGAGUGUAACACAUUAAUCAGUUUUGUUGCUCCUUAAGACCUUCCAUUUGAAGCCAUCUCGGACGCCACUCUGUGACCUCAGACCUGAGGUACGUUGCUGUCAUCACAUGGUCAGGACGAUCUUCCCAGCAGCCCCGGAGGACUCGAUGAUGUCGUGGUGGGCCUGGGUGGCUUUGUCCAGCGGAUACUUGGAACCAACGACUGGACGCAGCCAACCAGCCUCCAUCCCUGCAAAGAGCUGCGCUGCACACUGCUUGGUCUCCUCCUGGGAGACGAACAAGAAGGAAAAAUGACAAAAAUGGAAAAUUAUUCUAUUUAUACCUGCAGCUGUAUGUCUCGGACACUGAAGAGAGGAGCAGAGCUGUCAACAGAUCACAGCCUGGUGAUGUGAUCUUACUUGUGAACCAGAGCUCUGAAGGCAGUGAAAUAUGGGAUCCCAAUGGCUGCUCCCUGAGCAAAGUCUAAAGCAUCAGGCAGCUUGUGAACACAGUCCUCAGCAGCGAUUGUGUAUUCUGCAUAACUUCCUGACUCGGUGCCUGUGGUGAAAACACGAUCACCUUUCUGGAAAACACACACAGGCAGUGACUCCUUCUCCAACAGACUCCACCACUCCUGCUGCAUCAGUGCCUGGAGUGUACGGCAGGGCGGGUUUCCGGGCGUGAGUUCCAGUCCGGAUCGGGUGUCUCACCUUUCCCUGUCCGGGCUGAGGGACGCUCACACCGGAGACCACUUUCAGGACCGACGGGGCUCCGAACUCACUGACCCGGAUGGCUCUCAUCACUCUGCUACCCGACAUGUCUGCACCCAAACAAACUCUACACACACGGUUAGAAAAUUCACUUUCACACACUUGCGCACUUCCUCUUUCGUCUGCUCUUCUUCUCCUAUUGGACUUUUGAUUUCCGGUUCCGGUUUUGUGUCCGCGCCCUCUGCUGGUCAGUUUGCAAAUGAUCUUAGAAACGACUCCCACCUUUGGAUCUGCAUCAUCCUCCAGUUUUUAAAUCAUUGCUCAAUCAACUAUCCAAUGACAAAAAAUUAUUUUAAAUACAUUUUUAAAUUUGUUUCACACACACACAUAUAUACUACCUGUCAAAGUCACUUUAAGCCACUGAAAUCACUUUAAACAUGGUGCCUUGAAAUAUCUAUCUAGCCAGCCAGCGAUUAGGCUUCAUUCGUUUACUGCUUUUACAACUUGUGAAACAGAUCAAAUGCUCUCUGGUUGUGACUAUUGUCAGGACUGACUCAGUAAAAACAUCAUCCAAGUCUUUUUUGACAGGAUGAAAUUUUAGAGUAGAGCUCUAGAGUUCUGAAACACAUGAUAUCAAACUUGUUGACAUUGUCAUUUACUCUCUCACGUAAAUCAUUAAUACUGAAGGUAGCAGCAAAUCUGCAGUGUGCUUAGGGCAGCUAAAAUCAAAUAAAAUCAUUUUGUCAUCAUGUGUGAAACCUCUUAGCGAGAGAGAGUUCGAAUCUAAAGCCAGGUUAAAAUUUAGUCAACAGUAGCUCCCCAUUCAUGCUGGUUUAGAUUAAGAGAAUCACAUACAGUUCAAAACUCAGACGUAAACUGAUGAUCAUGAAUAUUAAAAAUACCAACAAAUAAAAAAUGGUAAUAACCAAGAACAAUGGAAGAAGUAAAAUCUGAGAACUCAAUUAAAAAACGCUCUACUGGGUUUAGGCAAAUGAUAAAUAAUAAUAAUGCAGCCACUCAGAUGUCAGCUUAUUUUCAGGACUGUGGUUGUAGGACCUUUAUUUUCUACUCAACAGGACAAGAACUGAAUAGACCAACAUCUAUGGUCAGGAUGGACAAGAAUCACAACAUGAAUACUGAAUGUAAUAAAAUAGUUUUAUUUGAUUUACAAUAAAAACUAUUCCUAGCAGCCUUCAGUUGAAAAAGAAAGUUUGCUGAUGUGUUUGUGUCUUGAAAGUUCAUGAUUACAAAGACCACAGUGUGGGAUUACAUCAUAAUUUUACCUGAUAAUGACCUAAUUAUGCUAAUUACACAACUUAUUCAUCAUGUAACUCAUAGCAACCAGGUUGCAGGACAGAAUAAACAUCCUUAAAACUAUUAUUUGUAUCUUUAAAUGAUCCUCAUAUUAGCACAUCUAAUUAUCACCAUAGGUGAACUUUAAGAUUGUGUGCAAAUGCAGUUCAGCUCAACUGUUGUAACAAUCAAACAUGAUUUCAGAGAAAAGCUUUAUGAACCAGUUUUGUUGCUCCUUCAGACUCUCCCUUUAAAAACAGCCAGUCUGUGACCUUUGAGCUGAGGUAUGUUGCUGUCAUCACAUGGUCAGGAUCAUCUUCCCAGCAGCCCCGGAGGACUCGAUGAUGUCUUUGUGGGCCUGGGCAGCUUUGUCCAGCGUAUACUUAGGACCAACGAGUGGACGCAGCCAACCAGCCUCCAUCCCUGAAAAGAAGUAGGCUGCACUCUGCUUGUUCUCCUCCUGAGAGACGAACAGGGAGGAAAAAUUACUGAAUGGGAAAUAUUAUCAGGAUGUAUUUAUUUAAGUAAAUUGGAUGCAUGUGAAUAACUGUUGACUGUGAUAUCAUCACUGUAACUGACUGGUGCAUGCAGGUGUUUCUUUAAGUUUAAUUUUUUUUUCAUUUGCAAAAGAUUUAUACAUAUAACUGUCACGGUUUCAUACCGGUUUAGCGUAGAAAAUGACAACUGCUGUGACUAAGGCCUCUUUAGCCAUGAUGUCCUCUGGGUUGAUCUCGAUGGGACCUCUGGAGCCAAUAAUCUACAGAGGAAGGACCAAGCAGAGACAUGAGAGAUGAAGAGUUUAGAAAUGAAGGCAAGUCUGUUCAUCUGUAAAUCUGCCUGAACUUUUCAUCUUUGCAUGACGUCUGAUUGGAACCGUGACUGAAAUGCUUCUGUCAUUGUUAUACCAUUUUAAACACACAUUCUGUUGUCUGAGAUCAUAGAGUCCUACUGACCACAAUACGUCCUCUUUUGGCCACCAUCUGCAGGUCUUUAUUGAGGUUGGAAUUUGCCAGCAUCUCCAUAAUGACAUCUACACCUUUGCCAUCUGUGGCUGCCUGGAAAACACAAACACACAGCAUAUAUUUCAUCCAUAUAUCUAUUAAAACCACUGUUUCAAAGGCCUUUUCCUGUCGAUCCUCCUGCUAUAUGUGUGUGGUUACCAUGAUUUUAUCAGUGUAUCCUUUUUCUCUGUGAUUGAAAGCCCGGUGAGCUCCAUUCUUGAUAAUCAGCUUCAUCCCGUCUGGAGUCCCUGCUGUUCCCAGAACUUUGAGGCCCAUGGAACAAGCAACCUGGCAGGUGGCCAUACCCGUCUAUGAGAUGAAGAAAAUAUUGGAUUUUAGAACAUGGUUUCAUCUCUGCUGUAGAAUUUCUGAGUAUGUUGUAAUCUUUCAAGGACACGGACUGUAAACAUGGGUUUUUUCAAAGUGAUACAUGUGAAACAGUGAGCUGGAUGAUGUAAAGCAAUGCAAGGAUGACAUUACGUAUUAGUCAAUUGCUGUUUCCUUUGAGAUCACCACUUAAUUGACACAAGGUUUGAUGAACAACCAACUUCAAGGCUGCAUUCACUAGUACACAAGUAUUCUUUAAAUCAUAGAUUUGUGUUUCAGUGUUUUGUUCACAUGCAAACACAAAUGGAAAACUUCCUGGGUGAAGAUAUCUUGGAACCUUAGUAAAAAAAAUGCUUAAAAAAAACUUAUAGUCUCACCCCUCCACUGGCUCCAUGAAUGAGGAGGGUUUGUCCGGCUUUGACACGAGCUCUGCAGAACACAGCAGGUAAACAAUAAAAAAAAUAAAGUGGUGGAAAAAAGUUUUCAGACACCCCGUGCAUUUAUGAAAUAUUGCAUUAAGAAUCGCUCUUAGGUCUCCAAGUGUAUUUUGUUUUAGUACAGUCACAGUCAAAAUACAAAGCAAAUCAUAAAAAAGCCAUUAAAACUUACAUAAAAACACAUAAGAAAUUUUGAGUAUUGGGUCAUUUUGGUUCCAAUUCGGAAUCUCGCCGCGCGCAAGGUAUGCUGGUCCGGGUGAAAGGUCGGGAUACCCCAGAUCAUAAACAUGGCAGAGUGCUACGCAGAUAUUGAUUACUUUGAGCGUUGUAAAGUCGAUGCUUUAAAGGAAUUUUGUAAGAAACGAGGAUACAGUGUUAUCGGGAAACGAAAGAAAGAACUCGUGUCCCUGGCUUGGGCAUUGUCAUUUCAAAAGGCCCCAAUAGUUUUAACAAAACAGCAGGAAAGGGAGGCUGUCAACCUUGAUUAUAAAUCCCUGCUCGAGAUCGAUGUUGACGGGUGUCACCUGAGAAUUCCAGAUCCUUUAGAGCUCAGAGAAGGUUGGGAGAAUGAGUCGACAGCAGCAAAUAAAUGGCCACCCUGCAUGUACAUAGAUAUCAAUAAUUAUCUGAUUAGCAAGGACGAGCAAAACUUGCUAACGACUACAAAGUCGGCACGAUGUUCUGAAUCUUUUCUUUCAGUAGGAAAUGUGACGAGUAUAUAAAGCAGGUCACAUAUACAGCGCGAGGUUCCUUUAUUGCACUCGUGAAUAGGGCAAAAUUCUUCCAUCCACUUCUUUAGCCCACGGGUACCGUUGUGGCAGUCCCGCACUGAACAAUGGGACCUGGCAUAUUGCCUUAAAAAGACUUUAAGCAGUGUAAACACUUAAUAGUCGCUACAAAUAGCAGGUCGUUCCACUGCGAUAGUAUCGCUUUAUCGAGCUUUGUUGAUAACGUAGUGUGGGAUGAACUCUGACCCGGAAGCUAUUGAGGGAUAAACGCGCAUGCGUACUGAUAAUUCCGAUUUGGCUUAUUCAUUCUGUGCUAUUUUUCAAUGAGUCAGUGAGUGACCGGUGACUGGCUGCUGCAGCCAAUGAUGCGAUUCACAUACGUAUUUACCAUAGACUGUAUAUAAUGGUAUUUACGCAGCUAAUCAACGUCAGGCGUCCUUAUGUGCAGCUACCGUUGUUCUCAUAGAUAUGAAUGAGUCGAUAGGACACGCCCCUUUGAGCUACGUGCUACAGCGAGGCUAAGCUAGUGGGGGAAAAGUUUCAGUGCAUUCUGUUGAUGUAGACGGCGUGAAAACGGAAACAACAAGUAUGCCGGCUCACUGUGCUGCAUACAAUUACACUACGUCAUACGAUUGAGACAAGGAAACUUGGAAUGACUUUUCAUAGGUAAGAAUAAUUUUUGGCUCUUUUUUCAUUAUGAAAUCUUGUUGAGAGCUUCCAGUCUAUGAGAGCUAACUAGUUAGCCACUAGCAAAACGCUUUCAUUUGCACAACUGACUUCCCCUCUUGACGUCCCUUUAGUUUGCCCCUAGUUAUGCUGCUAUAGGCCUAGGCUGCUGGGGAACCUCUCUGGAUGCACUGAGCCCUUCUCUAACUACCUAUGUAUUUACUAUAUAUACCAUUAUUGCAUUACAUUCACUCUGUUUCUUUCUGUGUCCUUUCUCCGAGUGUCCCUGGUCCCAGAGCUGGAUGCUGGAUGCUUCAGAUGUGUGGCUGUGUUUUAUGGUCCUUGUGUCCCACCCCCCCACCUCUCUAUCUCUACCCCUCUAUCUGUAUCCCUCUAUCUCUACCCCUCUAUCUCAACCUCCCUACUUCUUCUGUCCCUCUCAACCCGCCCGGCCAGCAGGCAGAUGGGUCCCCCCACAUUAGAGCCGGGUUCUGCUCAAGGUUUUUUUCCCUGUUAAAAGGGUGUUUUCCUUGCCACUGUCGCCUUUUGGCUUGCUCUGGGGGUCAGGCAUAUGGGUUCUGUAAAGCGUCUCGAGACAAUUUGACUGUAAUUGGCGCUAUAUAAAUAAAAUUGAAUUGAAUUGAAUUGAAUUGAAUUAAGGCGAGCUAGCAGCUUGACAACCAAAUACCAGACGAUUAAUAGUAGCUGUAGUAUAGUUGUACAAGCAGUAGUAGUAAUACUAAAAGUACAAGCAGCAGUAGUAGUAUAAACAGCUGUUAGAGUCAUAGAAGUAGUAUCAGCAUUUGUAAUAGUAUUACAAGUUGUAGUAGCAGUGCCAGUAUCAGCAGCAGCAGUUAAUGUAUGUUAAUGUCCACAGCUGUCAGUAGGUGAGGAGCAACAAAAAAACAGUCCAAACGCUGGUUUCCAGAGGGUUAGAUGAGAAUUUAUUUGAAAGAGUAAGUUUACAACAACACAACAUGUGAGGGGGUUAAAAACAAAUGGGUGUUAGUAAAAUAAAAAUAAAUAAACAGAACUAAAAGUAAACUUCGUGUUGACAUUGAUGGGCAUUCCAACCAGGAACAAAGUAAAAGAUAAUCAAUACGAAAAAAAACUUUUCCUGUUCAUCUCUUAAAACCCAAAAACACACCGCAGUAGCACCCUAAACUAAAACUACCAAUGGGUUCCCUGUUUUCCUUUGUGAACAAUUCAAAGGUCCCUCUCUAUCUCCCCACACAUCCACCAACCACUGGAACACAUCUCCAAAGUUCUGCUGGACCAGCUCAGCUUCCCCUCAGAAGAAGUGCCGCCACCGACCAGAUGAAGGAGCCUUUUGAGAGGCAGCUGGCAUCGUGAUUGGACUGUACUUUGGUCUGUUCCAAUCCAGCUUCAGCUCCAGAGACAGCAGGCGGGACGAGUCAACGGAGGCCUGGUGGACGAAGGCAUGCAGCUGAGUACAAUCCAGAAAACAACAGAGGAGGAGUGCAGCAGCCAGAACAACCACAGUAGCAUCAUAUGUCUCUUAGAAAACAUCAUAGUAUAGCCUUUGGUAUGAAAAAACGCCAUCAUAUACAUCGUAUAUUGUACAAAUAACAAGUCAAAGGAAAGAGACAUACAUUGUAGAAUUGUAGUAAUUGUGGGCUGACUGAUUUACUGAUUAUCAGUAUUUUAUUUUUUACUGAUUUAUGGUAAUAAAUAAAUUUUAAAAUGGCGCUA
Molecule: long non-coding RNA, 11418 nt
Organism: Amphiprion ocellaris (clown anemonefish)
Lineage: Eukaryota; Metazoa; Chordata; Actinopteri; Pomacentridae
Exons: 6
Source: RefSeq, a predicted model, not a curated record